Molecule: ribosomal RNA, 949 nt
Filed under: Staphylococcus epidermidis
Lineage: Bacteria; Bacillati; Bacillota; Bacilli; Caryophanales; Staphylococcaceae
Description: bacterial SSU rRNA
Rfam family: Bacterial small subunit ribosomal RNA
Source: RNAcentral
GACUGUCGCCUGCUAUACUGCAAGUCGAGCGAACAGACGAGGAGCUUGCUCCUCUGACGUUAGCGGCGGACGGGUGAGUAACACGUGGAUAACCUACCUAUAAGACUGGGAUAACUUCGGGAAACCGGAGCUAAUACCGGAUAAUAUAUUGAACCGCAUGGUUCAAUAGUGAAAGACGGUUUUGCUGUCACUUAUAGAUGGAUCCGCGCCGCAUUAGCUAGUUGGUAAGGUAACGGCUUACCAAGGCAACGAUGCGUAGCCGACCUGAGAGGGUGAUCGGCCACACUGGAACUGAGACACGGUCCAGACUCCUACGGGAGGCAGCAGUAGGGAAUCUUCCGCAAUGGGCGAAAGCCUGACGGAGCAACGCCGCGUGAGUGAUGAAGGUCUUCGGAUCGUAAAACUCUGUUAUUAGGGAAGAACAAAUGUGUAAGUAACUAUGCACGUCUUGACGGUACCUAAUCAGAAAGCCACGGCUAACUACGUGCCAGCAGCCGCGGUAAUACGUAGGUGGCAAGCGUUAUCCGGAAUUAUUGGGCGUAAAGCGCGCGUAGGCGGUUUUUUAAGUCUGAUGUGAAAGCCCACGGCUCAACCGUGGAGGGUCAUUGGAAACUGGAAAACUUGAGUGCAGAAGAGGAAAGUGGAAUUCCAUGUGUAGCGGUGAAAUGCGCAGAGAUAUGGAGGAACACCAGUGGCGAAGGCGACUUUCUGGUCUGUAACUGACGCUGAUGUGCGAAAGCGUGGGGAUCAAACAGGAUUAGAUACCCUGGUAGUCCACGCCGUAAACGAUGAGUGCUAAUGGUUAGGGGGUUUCCGCCCCUUAGUGCUGCAGCUAACGCAUUAAGCACUCCGCCUGGGGAGUACGACCGCAAGGUUGAAACUCAAAGGAAUUGACGGGGACCCGCACAAGCGGUGGAACAUGUGGUUUAAUUCGAAGCAACGCGAAGAC